ACAAUAACGGUUCUCGUAUGACCUCCGAAGUUAAGGUACGUUGAACCUGGACAGUACCUAGAUGGGUCACCGCUUUGGAAUACCAGGUGCCGUAAG
This is a non-coding RNA of Acanthosepion pharaonis, 96 nucleotides long. The record is from the annotation of a GenBank genome assembly. Lineage: Eukaryota; Metazoa; Mollusca; Cephalopoda; Sepiida; Sepiidae.